RNAcentral lists this ribosomal RNA (480 nucleotides) under uncultured bacterium. Its description in RNAcentral is "partial 16S ribosomal RNA". It matches the Rfam family "Bacterial small subunit ribosomal RNA", at positions 28 to 507 of the family's 1533-position model. The record is from RNAcentral.
GAUGAACGCUCGCGGCAGGCCUAACACAUGCAAGUCGAGGGAGAGGUUACCUUCGGGUAACCAAAACCGGCGCACGGGUGCGUAACGCGUAUACAAUCUGCCUUUCACAUAGGGAUAGCCCGAAGAAAUUUGGAUUAAUACCUAAUGGUAUAUAAGAGCGGCAUCGUUUUUAUAUUAAAGCUACGGUGGUGUAAGAUGAGUAUGCGUUCUAUUAGCUAGUUGGAGAGGUAACGGCUCCCCAAGGCGACGAUAGAUAGGGGUUCUGAGAGGGAUGUCCCCCACACUGGUACUGAGAUACGGACCAGACUCCUACGGGAGGCAGCAGUGAGGAAUAUUGGACAAUGGUCGGAAGACUGAUCCAGCCAUGCCGCGUGCAGGAUGAAGGUCCUAUGGAUUGUAAACUGCUUUUGUAAGGGAAGAAUAAGGAGUACGUGUACUUUGAUGACGGUACCUUACGAAUAAGCAUCGGCUAACUCCGUG